UACGUAGGGGGCAAGCGUUGUCCGGAUUUACUGGGCGUAAAGAGCGCGCAGGCGGUCGUUCAAGUCGAGUGUGAAAGCCCCCGGCUCAACUGGGGAGGGUCACUUGAUACUGAUCGACUCGAAGGCAGGAGAGGGAAGCGGAAUUCCCGGUGUAGUGGUGAAAUGCGUAGAUAUCGGGAGGAACACCGGUGGCGAAGGCGGUUCUCUGGGCCUUACCUGACGCUGAGGAGCGAAAGCGUGGGGAGCGAACAGG
RNAcentral lists this ribosomal RNA (253 nucleotides) under uncultured bacterium. Its description in RNAcentral is "partial 16S ribosomal RNA". It matches the Rfam family "Bacterial small subunit ribosomal RNA", at positions 524 to 776 of the family's 1533-position model. The record is from RNAcentral.